GCGGCUGUAGUAUAGUGGUUAGCACGGCUCGUUGUGGGUCCCUGUUUCUUCAGGAUACUGCUGCCGAGCAGACGGAUGUUCGAUUCCUCCCAGCCGCA
This 98-nucleotide transfer RNA is filed under the name Kalmanozyma brasiliensis GHG001. It matches the Rfam family "tRNA". Rfam says of the family: Transfer RNA (tRNA) molecules are approximately 80 nucleotides in length. Their secondary structure includes four short double-helical elements and three loops (D, anti-codon, and T loops). Lineage: Eukaryota; Fungi; Basidiomycota; Ustilaginomycetes; Ustilaginales. The record is from Rfam by way of RNAcentral.